GGACGAUUAGCUCAGUUGGAGUCAGAGCGUCGGUCUACGAAACCGAAGGCCACUGGUUCGAAUCCAGUAUCGUCUG
RNAcentral lists this transfer RNA (76 nucleotides) under Acidobacteriota bacterium. RNAcentral's name for it is "Acidobacteria bacterium tRNA-Arg". It matches the Rfam family "tRNA". From Rfam's summary of the family: Transfer RNA (tRNA) molecules are approximately 80 nucleotides in length. Their secondary structure includes four short double-helical elements and three loops (D, anti-codon, and T loops). The record is from RNAcentral. RNAcentral also lists the same sequence under 1 other name. Lineage: Bacteria; Pseudomonadati; Acidobacteriota.